This 497-nucleotide ribosomal RNA is filed under the name uncultured bacterium. Its description in RNAcentral is "partial 16S ribosomal RNA". It matches the Rfam family "Bacterial small subunit ribosomal RNA", at positions 28 to 507 of the family's 1533-position model. The record is from RNAcentral.
GAUGAACGCUGGCGGCGUGCCUAAUACAUGCGAGUCGAGCGAACGGACGAGAAGCUUGCUUCUCUGAUGUUAGCGGCGGACGGGUGAGUAACACGUGGAUAACCUACCUAUAAGACUGGGAUAACUUCGGGAAACCGGAGCUAAUACCGGAUAAUAUUUUGAACCGCAUGGUUCAAAAGUGAAAGACGGUCUUGCUGUCACUUAUAGAUGGAUCCGCGCUGCAUUAGCUAGUUGGUAAGGUAACGGCUUACCAAGGCAACGAUGCAUAGCCGACCUGAGAGGGUGAUCGGCCACACUGGAACUGAGACACGGUCCAGACUCCUACGGGAGGCAGCAGUGGGGAAUCUUCCGCAAUGGGCGAAAGCCUGACGGAGCAACGCCGCGUGAGUGAUGAAGGUCCUCGGAUCGUAAAACUCUGUUAUUAGGGAAGAACAUAUGUGUAAGUAACUGUGCACAUCUUGACGGUACCUAAUCAGAAAGCCACGGCUAACUACGUG